This 449-nucleotide ribosomal RNA is filed under the name uncultured bacterium. RNAcentral describes it as "partial 16S ribosomal RNA". It matches the Rfam family "Bacterial small subunit ribosomal RNA", at positions 354 to 796 of the family's 1533-position model. The record is from RNAcentral.
GUCGAGAAUCUUUCACAAUGGGGGCAACCCUGAUGGAGCGACGCCGCGUGGAGGAUAAGGUCUUCGGAUUGUAAACUCCUGUCAUGCGUGAACAAGGUUGCUUGGUUAAUACCUGGGCAAAUUGAUGGUAACGCAAGAGGAAGAGACGGCUAACUCUGUGCCAGCAGCCGCGGUAAUACAGAGGUCUCAAGCGUUGUUCGGAAUCACUGGGCGUAAAGGGUGCGUAGGUGGCGUGGUAAGUCAGAGGUGAAGUCCCGGGGCUCAACCUCGGAACUGGAUCCGAUACUGCCAUGCUGGAGUACUGGAGAGGUGACUAGAAUUCUCGGUGUAGCAGUGAAAUGCGGAGAUAUCGAGAGGAAUACCAAAGGCGUAGGCAGGUCACUGGACAGUUACUGACACUGAGGCACGAAGGCCAGGGGAGCGAACGGGAUUAGAAACCCGGGUAGUCC